AAAGUCGUAACAAGGUUUCCGUAGGUGAACCUGCGGAAGGAUCAUUAGUGAUUGCCGAAAGGCUAACUAGAUUCAUAAACACCUGUGAACUGUUAGAUUGACUCGAAAGAGUCAAUUUUAUUACAAACACUGUGUAAUGAACGUCUUAGUAUUAUAACUAAAAAAACUUUCAACAACGGAUCUCUUGGCUCUC
RNAcentral lists this unclassified non-coding RNA (193 nucleotides) under Basidiomycota sp. RNAcentral's name for it is "partial contains small subunit ribosomal RNA, internal transcribed spacer 1, and 5.8S ribosomal RNA". The stretch from base 1 to 47 matches the Rfam family "Eukaryotic small subunit ribosomal RNA", at positions 1785 to 1831 of the family's 1831-position model. The record is from RNAcentral. Lineage: Eukaryota; Fungi; Basidiomycota.